CUAUUAUGUAAUAAAUUGAGAAGGUUACAUAAAAAGACACAUUUCGUCAUUUCUUUGCAGUGAAAAACACAUUAUGGUUUUAGCACACUUUACUUGUACGGCUUGGUAGAUUCGAGACCAAAAUGCCCCUCUCUAAAAAUUUAGAAGAAAGCAACGAUUAAAUUAGUUAUUUUUUUUAUAUUAAUAAAUUAAACGGUGCGUUUUGCUAGGAUAUGGUGAUUACAAAGUCGUGGAUAGGAAAUAGUGGUUACACAUGUAUGUUAGAAGGUAUUGUUAUUGUUGUUGACGUGAUUGUUGUGGUUAGGGUACAAAAUAUACAAAGUUUCUAGCACAUAUAGUAUGGAUGUGAUACAGUGAAUAUUUCAAAUAUCUUAACUUGAUAAACAUACAUAAUGUUUGAUAAUAUAACAGACCUAGAAACCGCAUAUAUUACAAAAGCAUACAUAAUGUUUGGGAAGGAGAUGUAUGGACAAGCGUGAUGUUUCCAAGUCAGUAACCACAAAAUUCAUAUCCAUAACCAUACAACCUCAUUUACGGUAUCUAUUGUCACCAUAGUCUCCACCUUUGUAUCCACUUUCGUAUCCAUCGCCUCUGUAUCCAUAACCACCAUAACCUCCACUCCGGUGUCAACCACCAUCUCCUCAUCUCAAGCAACCACCUUAGUAUCCACCAUCUUCAUAUCCAU
Molecule: long non-coding RNA, 685 nt
Filed under: Brassica napus (rape)
Lineage: Eukaryota; Viridiplantae; Streptophyta; Magnoliopsida; Brassicales; Brassicaceae
Description: long non-coding RNA (BNAP_LNC025254)
Source: RNAcentral